CCAUGGGGUAUGCUCAGUACGGCGAGUGAGCGGCAAAGCUCAAAUUUGAAACCCUCGGGAUUGUAAUUUGAAGAUUUGGCAUUGGAGAAAGCUAACCCAAGUUGCUUGGAAUAGUACGUCAUAGAGGGUGACAACCCCGUCUGGCUAACCGUUCUCCAUGUAUUGCCUUAUCAAAGAGUCGAGUUGUUUGGGAAUGCAGCUCAAAGUGGGUGGUAAACUCCAUCUAAAGCUAAAUACUGGUGAGAGACCGAUAGCGAACAAGUACUGUGAAGGAAAGGUGAAAAGAACUUUGAAAAGAGAGUGAAAUAGUAUGUGAAAUUGUUGAUAGGGAAGGAAAUGAGUGGAGAGUGGCCGAGGUUUCAGCCGCCCCUCGUGGGCGGUGUACUGCCGACGCCGAGUCAUCGAUAGCGAGACGAGGGUUACAAAUGGGAGCGCCUUCGGGCGGUUUCCCCUAACCCUUCACAAUUGCCACCGCGGCAUAAUCCACCCCUUUCACCCGGCUUGAAAAACGGACCAA
RNAcentral lists this ribosomal RNA (517 nucleotides) under Yarrowia lipolytica. Its description in RNAcentral is "partial large subunit ribosomal RNA". It matches the Rfam family "Eukaryotic large subunit ribosomal RNA", at positions 65 to 669 of the family's 3401-position model. The record is from RNAcentral. Lineage: Eukaryota; Fungi; Ascomycota; Dipodascomycetes; Dipodascales.